CGGAGGAUCCAAGCGUUAUCCGGAAUCAUUGGGUUUAAAGGGUCCGUAGGCGGUUUGAUAAGUCAGUGGUGAAAGCCCAUCGCUCAACGAUGGAACGGCCAUUGAUACUGUCAGACUUGAAUUACUGGGAAGUAACUAGAAUAUGUAGUGUAGCGGUGAAAUGCUUAGAUAUUACAUGGAAUACCAAUUGCGAAGGCAGGUUACUACCAGUGGAUUGACGCUGAUGGACGAAAGCGUGGGGAGCGAACAGGAUUAGAUACCCUGGUAGUCCACGCCGUAAACGAUGGAUACUAGCUGUUCGGGGCAAUCUGAGUGGCUAAGCGAAAGUGAUAAGUAUCCCACCUGGGGAGUACGUUCGCAAGAAUG
Molecule: ribosomal RNA, 366 nt
Filed under: uncultured organism
Description: bacterial SSU rRNA
Rfam family: Bacterial small subunit ribosomal RNA
Source: RNAcentral